AGAGUAUGCCUSCCUGAGCGUCAGUGUGUACCCYCACCCCCAMUUAAUUUUGGGAUGGAAAUGGACGUCCGAUCGGAACCUSCGAAGGUUUCGAUGGGUCGGCUGAAAGGCAGUCCGCGGUGCGMCCGAUCGCACGAUCAGCGUGAUAGACCUAUUCUUAGGACGGAUCGCUCGGYCAGAUCGGUAACACUUCGAUCCGAAUACUGGUGCGUGUCUCGACUCCGCGGGCCCUCGCGGCUGGUGGAAUAAGAGCCGUGCCAUCUCACCUUUUGACCUCAGUUCAGACAAGGCUACCCGCCGAAUUUAAGCAUAUUACUAAGCGGAGGAAAAGAAAAUAACAAUGAUUCCCCUAGUAACGGCGAGCGAACCGGGAAGAGCCCAACUUGAAAAUCUGGAGGCUUGUCCUUCCGAAUUGUAGUCUAGAGAAGUGCCAUCUGCGGCUGGCUGGUCGAAAGUUCCCUGGAAAGGGACGUCAGAGAGGGUGAGAGCCCCGUCACGAUCGGUUAAGUCGCUCCACGAUGCGCUUUCGAGGAGUCGGGUUGUUUGGGAAUGCAGCCCUAAGCGGGAGGUAAAUUCCUUCUAAGGCUAAAUAUUGGCGAGAGACCGAUAGCGAMCAAGUACCGCGAGGGAAAGAUGAAAAGMCCUUUGAAAAGAGAGUUAAAAAGUMCCUGAAAUUGUUGAGGGGGAAGCGAUUGAAACCAGCGGGUGCUCCUCGGGUAGGGUCAAACCACACGCCGAGGGCUGGUCAACGUGGGUUAGUCGGGCGGGAUAUUACGCUUGAUUGACCGAGGACUCGACGUUGGCGGAAUGGUUUCAAUCGG
RNAcentral lists this ribosomal RNA (821 nucleotides) under Micromonas sp. KM5. Its description in RNAcentral is "eukaryotic LSU rRNA". Lineage: Eukaryota; Viridiplantae; Chlorophyta; Mamiellophyceae; Mamiellales; Mamiellaceae. The record is from RNAcentral.